CAGUAGCCGCGGUAAUACGGAGGGAGCUAGCGUUGUUCGGAAUUACUGGGCGUAAAGCGCACGUAGGCGGUUAUUCAAGUCAGAGGUGAAAGCCCGGGGCUCAACCCCGGAACUGCCUUUGAAACUAGAUGACUAGAAUCUUGGAGAGGUCAGUGGAAUUCCGAGUGUAGAGGUGAAAUUCGUAGAUAUUCGGAAGAACACCAGUGGCGAAGGCGACUGACUGGACAAGUAUUGACGCUGAGGUGCGAAAGCGUGGGGAGCAAACAGGAUUAGAUACCCGUGUAGUCCCUGUCUCUUAUAA
This 301-nucleotide ribosomal RNA is filed under the name uncultured bacterium. RNAcentral's name for it is "partial 16S ribosomal RNA". It matches the Rfam family "Bacterial small subunit ribosomal RNA", at positions 509 to 809 of the family's 1533-position model. The record is from RNAcentral.